RNAcentral lists this long non-coding RNA (966 nucleotides) under Linum usitatissimum (flax). RNAcentral's name for it is "long non-coding RNA (LUSI_LNC005672)". The record is from RNAcentral. Lineage: Eukaryota; Viridiplantae; Streptophyta; Magnoliopsida; Malpighiales; Linaceae.
CUUGUUUUCAACACAUUUGACCUAUCAAUCCGACGAUUUCGUCGAUUACAACUCCCAGAAAUGAAUAUUUUCCGAUUAGGGUUCAUAUCUCCCCUGAUUCCCUUGACUCUUUGUGUUCGUGCAUGUGUAUUGUGUAGGUUUUGGAGCUGUCAAUCUGUGGACUGUGGCCAUCAUCAUCCAUCAAGUUUUGGUGCGAGUACUGUAGGGUUAGAACAAGGUAAGCCGAUUAGGGUUUCUGAUUUUCCAUAUAUGCAUUUCUGUUCUUUUCCCAGAAGCAAUUAACGUUUCUGAUUCUCGUUCUUGUUUAGGGUUUCUGCUGUUAAGGAGCUUUUGGGAUCAUCAAGCUUCUGUCACUGUAAUCAUCAAGAUUCUACUCAACAUUGGAUAAGGUAACCAUCUGAACACAGUGUAUUGUUGGUGUUGUUUGGAAAUUGGAAUUGAUUAGCUUAAUAGGUUAUAGUAACUGUAUUGAGUUUUGAAACUGUAUUGUUUGUGUGGUAUGGAACCAAUUGGCUGAUUGGUUACUAUAUAGAGUUGAUGUGCUGAACUGAUUAGUUACUUUGUAUUGCAUUGAGUUGUUGUAAGCUAGUUUGUUGAUGGAAAUGCAAUGAGAUUAAUUUAGAAUAGAAAUGUUGAAUAGUAAUUACUAAUUACUAAACCAUUAACCUUAAACUGUUAUGUUAAACAGAAACCAUAAACUUAAAUCACCUACUUGUCUAUUUGACCAAUCUUAUCCUCUGCUCUAAAACAAUAAGCUAAAACAGAAACCUUGGAAAACAGAAUAAUUGAUUAGUAAACUACAACUUAACAUAAAUCAAUCUCUCAUCUAAGAAAAGCUCUGUUCUUAAUCUAAUCCUAAUUCUUUUAAACUCUAAUAUGUUAUGCUUGGAUGGUUUGUUGAUGGAAAUGCAAUGAGAGGACUCGUAACAUUAGCUGUAGAGGAUUAGAGGAAGAGACUCUUCUCUU